GCGAAGAACCUUACCUGGGCUUGACAUACACCGGAUCGGGCUAGAGAUAGUCUUUCCCUUUGUGGCUGGUGUACAGGUGGUGCAUGGUUGUCGUCAGCUCGUGUCGUGAGAUGUUGGGUUAAGUCCCGCAACGAGCGCAACCCUUGUCUUAUGUUGCCAGCAUUUGGUUGGGGACUCAUGAGAGACUGCCGGGGUCAACUCGGAGGAA
This 208-nucleotide ribosomal RNA is filed under the name uncultured bacterium. RNAcentral describes it as "partial 16S ribosomal RNA". It matches the Rfam family "Bacterial small subunit ribosomal RNA", at positions 961 to 1171 of the family's 1533-position model. The record is from RNAcentral.